AAGCAAAUGUAGGUAUAAGUAACGAUAAAGGGGGUGAGAAACCCCCUCGCCGAAAGACUAAGGUUUCCUGAUCAACGCUAAUCGGAUCAGGGUUAGUCGGGUCCUAAGGCUCAGCCGAACGGCGAAGUCGAUGGCAGAACAGGUUAAUAUUCCUGUACUACCUUUAGGAGUGAUGUGGAGACGGAGCAGUGAUAGCGCCGCGGACUGACGGAAUAGUCCGUUGAAGGG
RNAcentral lists this ribosomal RNA (228 nucleotides) under Acetobacter sacchari. Its description in RNAcentral is "partial 23S ribosomal RNA". It matches the Rfam family "Bacterial large subunit ribosomal RNA", at positions 1288 to 1518 of the family's 2925-position model. Lineage: Bacteria; Pseudomonadati; Pseudomonadota; Alphaproteobacteria; Acetobacterales; Acetobacteraceae. The record is from RNAcentral.